GACGGGGUUAGGUGGUGGCAACAGACAGAAGGAUGGGCAUGCUGGCCUAGGCACAACGGCUGACAGUCGGGCAAGGAUUAGGGUUUCCAAAUGUUAGGCUAUUUGGGUUUUUUUUUGUUUGGGUUAGUGUAGGUAUUGGGCUUGGGGUAUUUGGGGCUUAAGUGUUUAGGUUAGUUUGGGUUUUGAUAUAAAUGGGUUUAAGUGGGGUCUGAUGGGUUAAGG
This 222-nucleotide long non-coding RNA is filed under the name Gossypium barbadense (sea-island cotton). RNAcentral describes it as "long non-coding RNA (GBAR_LNC023316)". Lineage: Eukaryota; Viridiplantae; Streptophyta; Magnoliopsida; Malvales; Malvaceae. The record is from RNAcentral.